This 7393-nucleotide long non-coding RNA is filed under the name Sus scrofa (pig). RNAcentral's name for it is "lncRNA (ENSSSCG00000060068.1)". The record is from RNAcentral. Lineage: Eukaryota; Metazoa; Chordata; Mammalia; Artiodactyla; Suidae.
UGAUGCUUCUUGUUAUGACUCCACUGGAGAAUCUACAUCUUUUUGUAUGAAGACAAAAGUUCAGAGGGUCCACCAGAGAUGGGAUGCAGAAUCUGAAUCUGUCUUUCUGGGUCUUAAUCAUAAAUAUAUGUAUGUGGAGUUCCCGUCAUGGUGCAGCAGAAACGAAUCUGACUAGGAACUAUGAGGUUGUGGAUUUGAUCCCUGGCCUCGCUCAGUGGACUGGGAAUCUGGCGUUGCUUUGGCUGUGGGUAGUUUGUAGACACAGCUUGGAUCCUACAUGGCUGUGGUGUAGGCCAGCAGCUGUAGCUUCAAUUAGACUCCUAGCCUAGGAACCUCCAUAUGCCACAAGUGCGGCCCUAAAAAGCCAUAAAUAAAUAAAUAAAUAAAUGUGUGGUGUGUGUGUGUGUCUGUUAUAUAAGUUUAUAUAGUGAAAAAUUAUAGGUUCAUCAUAUGUCUAUAUUACUUUAUAUGAAAGUCUUAUUUCUCUCCAAACUUGGCCAAAAUGAUUGAAGUAUUCUUUAAAAUGCAGUUCUUAUGUCAGUCAUCCAUGAUGAUUUCUUCACUGUAGCCAUCAGGAUAAAAUCCAGAGUUAACUACACUUCAAGCCUAUCCUGUUCAGGCCACAGACACCCUGCUUAAUAUCAUCUGUUGUCUCUAGCCCUCUCACACAUUAUUGAACUGUUUUUUAUUUUGGUACUGCAUUUUUUUCAAGUCUCCUUGAACUUGGACUUGGUAUUCCUAUAACUUGUAAAGCUGUUUCACAUAUGAGCUUGGCUAACUCCUACAAAUAUUUUCAAAUCCAAUUGUUCCUUCAAGGAAACUUCUUUAACCUUCUACUACCACUCAAAUCCCAUCAGAGAUUUUUGUUCUCCUAUAUGUCUCUUGUUCAUUUAACUCUCAACCACUGCAUUGUAAACUCCUUCUGGGUAGGACUCGCAUCUUUUAUUUUUCAACUUACCUUGCUUAGCUGUGCCUGGCACACUGCAGGCUCAGUGUUUGCUGAAUAAAUAAAUGGAGGAAGCCAGAAGCCAAGACAUGAAGGACCUAGGAAAGGUGACUUUGAAGGUGGCCAGCCCUUUGGAAUUGAGAUGGAUAUCUCGGUCUUUAAAUAAUGGUUAUUUUUUUUUUUUCUUUUUGGCUGUACCUACGGCACAUGGAAGUUCCCAGGCCAGGAAUCGAAUCCAAGUCACAGAUGCGACCUGUGCCAGAGUUGUGGCAAGGCCAGAACUUAACCACUGCACCAGGCUGGGGAUUGAACUCGUGCCACUGCAGAGACAACACAGGGUCUUUAACUGCUGUGCCACAAGAGAACUCCUGAGGUUUUAUUUUAAUAAUGAAAAUGCUGUUUCCUUCUGGUGCCUUCUUUUUUCCUCCUUUUGGCCACAUUGUCCUCUCUUUCCCAGGCUGACUAGUGUAACUGUGUGGUCCUCUGGUUUCCUGAGAACCCUCAUUGAGUGGCUACAUCUUUGCCUGGCUUCCUAGAUCUGCUAUUGUCGGGAGUGUCUCCAGACAGCGGUCACUUACCAGGGGCUUUACCCUCACUGGGGCUGAUACAGCUCAAGAAAUAUUCUUCAUAGAGGCAGUUUACACUGUAAAAAUUAGUGGCCUGAUACAACAAUCAUUUUAUCUUCUCUCACAUUUUUGUAUGUUGACUGUGUUCAACUGGCCACUUUUCUGCUGGCCUCUCCUGAGGUGUUUUGGGAGGAUGCAGUCAGGUGAUGUUUACAUAUCAUCUCAGGGUAGUGGAAGCAUAUGGAGGCUUGCCUGCAAGGCUGGGAUGUCUAGAUCUCCUCUUUCUCCAUGUAUCUCAGGGCUUCUCCUCUAUGUGUGGUCUCUCUCUGUGGUAGUUGGACCAUGGGAACCAAUUUCCUCUGGGACAGCUCAGAGCUCUCAAAUGCAGCUAAGGGAGGUAGAAUUUGUAAGUCCUCUUAAAGUCUAGGUACAGAAUGGUCCCAGUGUCACUCCUACUGCAUAUUAUUGGGUAAUGGAAGUCCCAGGGUAGCUCAGAGUCAUUGUGGGAGGGACCACAUGGAGUCAUGAAUACCAUGAGGCAUAGGUCCUUUGGGCCAUCUUUUCAUAUUAGCUAAUUAGAUGCUGUAGCAUACUUGCAUAUUAAUAAGCAACAGAUGUUUAAAAAUAAUUUUAAAAUCUGAGACUGUUGUGUAUUUCUUCCUUCUUGUAAACUCUUCCUUUCAGCCUCCUGCUCAGAUUCCCUGUCAAUUUCGCUAGCCCUGUCCCCAUCACUUCUAGCACAUCACCUUACUUGUCUUUCUUUCUUUUACUGCUUCUGCUUCCUUUGUCUCUCCCUAAGCAAUGGGCAAGAACCAAACCCCCAGGCUUUGUCGCUUCCUCAUCAGUCCUCCCUAUUCUCUUCCCCACAGAGCUCUUUCAUGAUUUCUUCUUGACUUUCUUUACCAGGCCCAUCUCCUCCAUGCCCUCUGUGUAUCCUGCACUUCAGGAAUUUUGAGCAUUAGCAUUUCCUUGAGUAGAACGUGCUCCUAUACCCCUUCGUGCUGUUACAUAUUUUGUUCCUCUGACACGAAGGUGGGGAUAUAUUUCCGAAAUGCCUCCAUUAUGCCUUUGGAACAAGUUGGAAGAACAUGGCCUAGUUUGAAGUCUCCUCAGCUUUCCUCUGCAGAAUUGAUUAAUUCUUCUACAGCCUUUUGAUAUGGACACAACAGGUAUCCAUCUUUCCAGUGAUGUGCCUGAUUCAUCUCUGUGUCUUUCCAUCCCAGGCUUUCACAGUAUCUAAUAUAUGAGAAACUCAAUCAUACUGAAUUGGCCAGGUGAAUUAUUUCAUUCUUGUUUUCUUUCCCUAUUAACUCCAUGUGUGUAGCUAUUAUGUAUUUUUCUCUAAUCUUUGGCAACAUUUCGUAUUGCCUCUUGGAAUCUAUACUGAGAAUCUUGUGCUCACCUCAAAAGUAAAAUUCUUCCAAUCACAUUUAUUUGCUUUCCCCUCAAAUGUCCUCAUCUCUUCCACUGAAGCCACUGUUAUUUCAGUUACCAAGGCUAACCUUUGUCCCUUUCACCCAUCCACUUCAGUCAGUCUUAGAUUUAGGUCAUUGUUUUCUUUCGAUAUUGCUCUCAUAUGUAUUUUCCUGAGUAUAUUCUUACUGCUAUCUUUCUAGUCCAAAUCUUCCUCUCCCUGUGUCUGAAUUAUCACCGUGCUAGUCUGUGUUUCCUGAGUUUGUUUCCCUUUCUAAUGCCUCCCACUCUCAUUACCAGGCUAAUCUUCCCUAAACUACUCUUUCAGUGUUGCUCUGGAACUUUCAGAAAUGCUGUUUAUUGUCAAAUCAAAUCUAUUCUUUCACCUGGUUCUCACUGCCUUCCCCAAUACAAACUCCACUUUACCCAUCUCACUUAACUUCUCACUUCUAAUUAGCACCCAUGCUUAUCUAUAAUUUGUCCUCUCCCCAUUGUUUCUGGGUCAAACAUGCACUGGUCCAAUCCCAACUGCAAGGUCCAUCUGUCUAGAUUGCCUUCUUGGCCCAUUUCCCUUCUUACAUAUCAGAAUCUUCCCCUUCUUCUAGGCUGUAUCCAAGUUUUAAUCUUCUGUCUUUGUUCUUUCAACUUACUCCUGCCCACUGUGCUCUCCUUUCUCUGAGAUCUGAUUGCAGAUGUGUUGUGUCAGAACCACUUUUCACUAAUGACUUUCAUUUGUGCUUUAACAGCAGCUGUGCUUCUUGAGAUUGGAAGCUAUGGCUCAUUGUCCAUGGUAGCUCUCAGUGUCAACAGUGCUGACCAGGUAGUAGGUGCUCCAAUAUUAGGAAAUAAAUUACAUGUACUUGUGGGCAUCUUCUGGGUUAUCACCUUUGGGCCAGUGGAAUAGCAUAACUCAAAGCAGCAAGGAAAAAAAGGAGGUUUUUCAAGAUCCUCAAUUCCCAAGUGAGGUGUUCCCUACUGUGGUCCUGGAUAUUGGAAAAUUUUAAUAACUAGUAUUUUUAUGAACGUUGCAUAUAAAACACUCUCACUGAUAUUUACUUAUUCAUAAUUUUAUAACUUCCACCAGAAUUACUAUGCACUUUGGGGCAGGAGGUACAAUGUAUGAAGAUGGAAUAAAUGGAGGAAGUAGGGGGUGAGGAAUUUGGACUUACAAAAAUAUUUGAUAGGCUGUUAUGCAUUUUAUUGGCCCUUAGGAGUGUUGAUAUAUAUAUAUUUCAUAUACAUAUAUAUCAAGAGAGGAAGAGUUUGCUUCUUUAACUUAUGGCAAAAAAGAGAAUUCAAGAUAUACAGAUAUAUAAAGAAUAACUAUUUAUAUUAGUCAGCCCUCAGGGAUCAGUGAGAGCAAAAGACUGACGAUCCAAUAUUGAGGUAAUACUCCAGAGAGAUUUUGACCUUCACUUCCUCAAGCCAGCUUGUAUGGUUUAAUAGUUUUUCUGCUAUAAGAAUGGGGCAGAUGACAUGCUAUUUCAGUGUGAAAGAUAGCAAAAAUGAAAGCAAGAUUAAAAUAACAUUAGAAAUCAAAAACACAUCAGUGAAAAAAUGGAGAACUGAAACUUUUGUACCAGAAUGUAAAUGUUCAUUUUUAAGAUUAUAUCGCCACCUAGUAAAUCAGUGUAGAAAUACACCCACAGUUAAUGGCAGCAUCAGCCCAGUGUUGAGCCCUAAUCCUUGGGUUCUGCGGGUACCUUUAUAAACUUCUGCACAAAUGACAGGACAAGUGCAAGACCUAUCUCCAGUUCUUAAUGCUCAGCCCCAUUCACACUCUCCUGUUCCUUUGGAGUUAUGGAAUGGAGGGGUCAAUGCACACAUUUCAGAUAUGAAACUGUGUCAGAAAUUUCUCUCAAUCUGUUAUGCAUCUUUAGAAAAUGAUUAAAAAAUGCAUACUAUCAUUUAACUAUUCUAAAUAAUUUAACUCUGGGAUGUUCCUUAGUGGGAAUAUUUUUCAUUUUCUACUUUCGUUUCUGCUAGUAGAAGAAGUGGUCUGAUCAGGAAGAAGCAUUGGGAUUGUGCAAUUAAAAACACUAAACACAGAACCCUACUUUUUUGUUGUUACAAUCACAGCUUUAGUUUUUUCCCUUUAUUUAAAAAAAUCUCUUGUUUCUUCUGCAGCGGUUGUUGGCACUGAAUGCUUGAUCACCCAGCCUAGUUUUGUUUUUAUAAGGAAAUCGUUAGCUUGAUAAAAUUUGUAUGGGGUUUUAAGGUUUGGUGUCUACAGACAAUUGGCUACCAGGGGCGGCAUCCUGGCUGUAGGUACUCCUUGAUAAUCUCAUUUUUUUCAUCUGUGAGAUGGGGACAACAAUAGCAUAUACAGCAUUGGGCUUUUAGGAAGAAGAAAUUCAGCAGAAGUGCUCAAAAAUGUUAGCCAUUAACAACAGAAAUACAUUGAUUAAGAAAUGGUGGAAACAAAGAACAGAAACUAAUUUCACCUUGCCACUCACAAUAGAUCAAAAUGCUCUAGCCAAAGAGAUACACAAAGAGGAGGCAUAUAUUCUGAGACCAGGAAAUCAUCCAUUUAAAAAAAAACCCAAGUGAUUAAAAUUUUUUAAAUUACUAAAUUUUAAUAAUUACAAGAUUGAUUAAAUUCAAGUGCUUAAAAGACCUUGAAAAUUUACCUCCAUUCUUUUUCCUGUAUUUUCUUCCUUCAUUUUAGAAACCUAUCCUCACUUCAGCCCUCCAAAUAGCAUCUCCUCUAUAUUUUAAGGAUAUUUUGACUGAAGGGAUUAACCAAGAGUUUAGGUUAGAAAGUAGAGGAGGCGAUAUUUUGUUUUGGGAGCCUCUUCCCAAGGGGCAGUCAUAGAACUGCCAGUUUUACUUCAGAAAUGGCAGAAUCUGCCAUUUGUCUUCUAAUAGCUAUUUUUCUUUUUCCUCAAGGUAAUAGAACUUUCAGCUGGCAAAUAACCACACAGCUAAAUAUGUCUAUUUUCCUCCUGAAGUAACUGUGGCCUCUGCACUUGUGAUAUGCAUAGCAUCUAGUCAUCCUCUUAUGAAGAACACAUGUGCCUUCCUCCCUUGCCUCUUUCUCCUCUUCUGCUGACUGGGAUGUGGAAAUGAUGGUGGGACUAGAGAAGCCAUUCUGGGCCAAGAAUGGAAGAUAAGUUUAAAGAGAGCAGAACAACAAAAUAAAGGCAGCCUAGCUUCCCAGCACUGCUGAUGUGCUCUAGGAGCCCUGGAAUGCCUAUGCAGACCUGUAAAUGAGAGAGAAGCCAAUUCUGUUUUACUUAAGCUUAUAUAUUUUUGAGUCUCUUUGUUAUAGUAGUCUAAGCUGUAUUAUAAAAAUAUAUAACAGUCUCAAAGAGUAACAAGCUAGAAAUAUGAGUCUAAAAUUAUAGAUUUUGAGUAUGAAAAAUACAUCCUUCAAGACACUACAUCCCAAAGACUGGUCCUUUGAGGAUGCUAAAUAGAAAAAGACUUUUUGUGUAUGCCAAGAAAAAUAUUCUUUUAAUAGUUGGUAGGGGAAUCUAUUAUGUGGGGCUAUGGAUAGGGGUGAUCCUGCUUAACCCACUGAGCAAGGCCUCAACCUCAUGGUUCCUAGUUGGAUUCAUUUCUACUGUGCCAUGACGGGAACUCCAUGGGCUUAGGUUCUUGAUCAAGUAAAAUAGUGGCCUUGGACUAUAUGAAGAGAUACUGUUGAUAUCUGACCCUAAGUACCAGGCUUGUAGUUGGAAAAACAAGCACAGUGCAGCUAUGAAAAAGUUGGUAAUUAAGUCCAGUUUUAAGUGGAAGGGGCAGAAGUAGAACUAGGGAGAUUUUCCCUUAGGAAUAUGAAUAUUGGUGUCAAAGAAUAUAUAUUGUAGAUAUCCCAUAAGUAUUUGGGUUCUACAUUUAGAAUUUAUACAUAUGACAAUGUCACUGAUUUCCUUGUUACCUCAGAUCCCACCACAUUUCCUAUCAGUAGCUUCUCCAACAGCCAACUAGUUAUUUACAUUCAUCUUGUUCAUGUAGAACCUUGACAGAACAUAAAGGAAUGAAACAGAUUUCACAGUUGACCCUUGGCCAGAUAUACAAGGUGGAGAAAGACAGUCCAGCAGAGAAGUGUCAUAUGCAAAAGCUUGAGUGUAGGGGUGGUGAAGUGGGCUCAAUAAUCCUUGAGUAAUGCAGUGCGUGAGCCCAGGGGAUUGUAAGUGUGAGGGCUGGUGAAGAAAGAGAAUCACCUGGAAGUGGAUGGAAAUAGAAGCUGAGUCAGCUGUUUGUACUAAGCCUGCCUCUGCAUAGAUUCAAAUUUUAGAUCCAGGAGUUUCUGUCGUGGCUCUGUGGUUAACGAAUCCCACUAGGAACCAUGAGGUUGCGGGUUCGAUCCCUGGCCUUGGUCAGUGCAUUAAGGAUCUGGUGUUGCCGUGGGCUGUGGUGUAGUUUGCAGAUGUGGCUUGGAUCCUCCGUUGCUGUGAUUGUGGUGUAGGUUGGCGGCUACAGCUCAUAUUAGACCCCUAGCCUGGGAACCUCCAUAUGCCGC